This 154-nucleotide non-coding RNA is filed under the name Ilyobacter polytropus. RNAcentral describes it as "GlcN6P sequence". It matches the Rfam family "glmS glucosamine-6-phosphate activated ribozyme aptamer". From Rfam's summary of the family: This entry contains a glucosamine-6-phosphate activated ribozyme that is found in the mRNA for GlmS. GlmS is an enzyme that uses fructose-6-phosphate and glutamine to generate glucosamine-6-phosphate. The ribozyme catalyses self cleavage of the glmS mRNA that is thought to regulate GlmS activity. RNAcentral also lists the same sequence under 1 other name. Lineage: Bacteria; Fusobacteriati; Fusobacteriota; Fusobacteriia; Fusobacteriales; Fusobacteriaceae. The record is from RNAcentral.
AAAAUAAAAAAAGCGCCAGAGCUUAUGAUCUUAUAAGCUGACGAGGAACGGAGUUAUCGAAAAUUCGGCGGAUGCUCCGAAGGUGGUUACAACCUCAGUAACGUUACAAAUUCAAAGAGUGAUCUUUGGGACAAAAGACGUUUCAGUAGCAUUU